Molecule: long non-coding RNA, 251 nt
Organism: Macrobrachium nipponense
Lineage: Eukaryota; Metazoa; Arthropoda; Malacostraca; Decapoda; Palaemonidae
Exons: 3
Source: RefSeq, a predicted model, not a curated record
AGUUUGUCUGGAGAAAAUCUGGAGAGAUGGCAAGGUUAUUGAAAGUCCAAAUUUGCGGAUGUUGGCAACUGAGCUGGUUACCAGCGUACGGAGUCUACACACAGAAAUAAUUACUAUAUUAAAGGAUGAGUCUUUAGCUUUGAACCAGACUGUAAUAGAGAGUCUAAGGGAGGCCGUAACCCAAUUAGAUGGUACAUUGAAACAUGCACAUGAGAAAGAUCACUUGAUGCACUUUUGUUCUGAAGAGGAGG